This is a long non-coding RNA of Gallus gallus (chicken), 1721 nucleotides long. NCBI's taxonomy places the organism in Eukaryota, Metazoa, Chordata, Aves, Galliformes, Phasianidae. The record is from Ensembl.
AUGAGGGGGAAGGUGGUUGGGGGUGGGACUCAUUUGCAUAUAUUAGCAUACGAGGGUGGGAUUGGGGUGUUAAUUAGUAUAUGCUAAUGAGGAUGGGAUCGGCCAUAGGGAAGAAGUCGUUAAUUAGCGGCCUUCACGAGCUGCGGAUCGUUACUAUUGAGGCUUCGUGUUGGUUGAAGGCUGGGCUCAUUUGCAUACAUUAGCAUAUGAGGAUCGAGAGUGCAUACGAGGAUCGAGAAUGCUCGCUAAUUAGCAUUGCUAAUGAGGACGGGAUCAGCACUAACGAAGACUUCGUUAAUUAGCGACCUUAACGAGUUGUCCAUUGUUACCAUUGAGGCUCUUCAGUGAUUGAAUGCUGGGCUCAUUUGCAUAAAUUAGCAUACGAGGAUCAAGAAGGGUCGCUAAUUAAGGCCACUAAUGAGGUUCGGAUUGACGAUGAUGGAGACUUCGUUAAUUAGCAGCCUUGUUAAUUAGCGGCCUUGACGAGCUGUGGAUUGCUAUCAUGGAGGCCUCGCAUUGGUUGAAAGCUGAGCUCAUUUGCAUGAAUUAGCAUACGGGGAUCAAGAAAGGAUGUUAAUUAGAGCUGCUAAUGAAGAUUGGAUCAGCGCUAACGAAGAGUUUGUUAAUUAGGAACCUUAAUGAGCAAUCCAUCGUUACCUUCGAGGCUUUUCAGUGGUUGAAAGCUGGGCUCAUUUGCAUAAAUUAGCAUACGAGGAUCAAGAAAGGACGUUAAUUGGCGCUGCUAAUGAGGAUCCAAUCAGCGCUAACGAAGACUUCGUUAAUUAGCGACCUUAAUGAGCUGUGGAUCGUUACCAUGGAGGUCUCGGAUUGGUUGAAAGCUGAGCUCAUUUGCAUAAAUUAGCAUACGAGGAUCAAGAAGGGGCAUUAAUUAAGGCUGCUAAUGAAGAUUGGAUCAGCGCUAACGAAGAGUUUGUUAAUUAGGAACCUUAAUGAGCAAUCCAUCGUUACCUUGGAGGCUUUUCAGUGGUUGAAAGCUGGGCUCAUUUGCAUAAAUUAGCAUACGAGGAUCAAGAAAGGACGUUAAUUGGCGCUGCUAAUGAGGAUCCAAUCAGUGCUAACGAAGACUUCGUUAAUUAGCGACCUUAACGAGCUGCGGAUCGUUACCAUGGAGGCCACGGAUUGGUUGAAAGCUGGGCUCAUUUGCAUAAAUUAGCAUACGAGGAUCAAGAAGCGUCGUUAAUUAGAGCUGCUAAUGAGGAUCCGAUCAGCGCUAAUGAAGAUCUUGUUAAUUAGCGGAUGAAGGCUUCGUUAAUGAGCGGCUUUGACGAGCUGCGGGUCGUUACCAUGGAGGCUUCUCAUUGGUCGAAAGCUGGGCUCAUUUGCAUACAUUUGCAUAGGAGGAUCACGAAAGCUCGUUCCUGAGCACUAAUUAACGGGGCUUAAUGAGGCUGCUUAAUGAGCUCGGCGCAGCGGUAACGAAGGCCGCCUUAAUUAGCGAGCGCGGCUCCCGGCGUCGGCUUCCCAUUGGUCGAGAGCCCCCCUCAUUAGCAUAUAUGAAUGGUUAAUGAGGGGGCGGUGUUGAAUGGGUUUCAAUGGGGGCCAAUGGGGUUUAAUGGGGGUUAAUGGGGGUUUAAUGGGGGUUAAUGGGGUCUUAUAGGGUUUAAUGGGGGUUAAUGGGGUCUUAUAGGGUUUUAAUAGGGGUUUAUGGGAUUUUAAUGGGGGUUAAUGGGGUUUUAAUGGGGGUUAAUGGGGUCUUAUAG